AGGUUGGUGCGAAAGUAAUUGUGGUUUUUGCCAUUGAAAAUAAUAGCAGAAACCACAAUUACUUUCACACCAACCUAAUA
This 80-nucleotide microRNA precursor is filed under the name Colobus angolensis palliatus. RNAcentral describes it as "miRNA (ENSCANG00000014715.1)". Lineage: Eukaryota; Metazoa; Chordata; Mammalia; Primates; Cercopithecidae. The record is from RNAcentral.